GCCCGCGUGGCGGAACGGCAGACGCCGGCGACUUAAAAUCGCCUGCCUUCGGGCGUGCGGGUUCGAAUCCCGCCGCGGGCA
Molecule: transfer RNA, 81 nt
Filed under: Rubellimicrobium thermophilum DSM 16684
Lineage: Bacteria; Pseudomonadati; Pseudomonadota; Alphaproteobacteria; Rhodobacterales; Roseobacteraceae
Rfam family: tRNA
About the family: Transfer RNA (tRNA) molecules are approximately 80 nucleotides in length. Their secondary structure includes four short double-helical elements and three loops (D, anti-codon, and T loops).
Source: Rfam by way of RNAcentral